RNAcentral lists this unclassified non-coding RNA (382 nucleotides) under uncultured bacterium. RNAcentral describes it as "contains 16S-23S intergenic spacer region". The record is from RNAcentral.
UCCGGUUUGGCACCGGCAGUCCUCCCAGAGUCCUCGGCUCUACCCGGUAGCAACUGGGAGCGGGGGUUGCGCUCGUUGCGGGACUUAACCCAACAUCUCACGACACGAGCUGACGACAGCCAUGCAGCAUCUGUGCUGGCUCUCGACUUUACGAGUGGUUCCCCUUUCGGGGUUCUACUUCCAGCAUGUCAAGCCUAGGUGAGGUUCUUCGCGUUGCAUCGAAUUAAACCACACGCUCCGCUGCUUGUGCAGGCCCCCGUCAAUUUCUUUGAGUUUUAAUCUUGCGACCGUACUCCCCAGGCGGGAUGCUUAAAGCGUUAGCUGCGCCACUGACGAGCAAGCUCGCCAACGGCUAGCAUCCAUCGUUUACGGCGUGGACUAC